Molecule: ribosomal RNA, 4752 nt
Filed under: Triticum aestivum (bread wheat)
Lineage: Eukaryota; Viridiplantae; Streptophyta; Magnoliopsida; Poales; Poaceae
Description: partial small subunit ribosomal RNA
Source: RNAcentral
AUGGGUGGCAACAUGAUCUUGGGAUUGGCCCGGCCCCGCUUUAGAUUCGGCUUCUCACAUGGCUUCUCGCUUCAGGUGAUGACAUGGAAAGCGUUCGGCAACGUUGGGGCCCCACUCGGAGGGAUUGGCAGGCCAGGUUGGGGCCCAAAAAUAAACCUAGCCCCUCACCUCGCUCGUCUCUCUCUCCAAUCCCCUCGACCCCUCCUCCUGUGCGCCGCCACCCAUAGGCGCGGGCGCCUCAGGCUCCCGUCUGCCCUCCUCCUCCCUGACUCCCAUGCCAGCCAUGACCUCUCGACGGAGGUCCGCAUCCGCCGCGUCCGCUUCUGGUCCAUCACCGAGGAUGGCUCCUCCGUCUCCUCCUUCCACUUCGAGGGGGAGGGUGGCUCCCCUCGCUCGCCGCCUCGUGGGCCUCGAUCCUCCGGGAUGGACGACAUCGACACGCUCGGUCUGCCGGCUUCGACUCCCUCUCCAUCGAGCCCCGCCCAGCUGCGCCUGCCCCCCUCGACGACUUCCCCGGCGCGCCGCAGAGCGCGUCCAUGGCUGCUUUUCGCCGCGCUCUGGGUCGCCGCAUGGCGGGGUUGCUCUCCGAGCCCUUCCCGCCACGCUGGCCAUGCUGCUUCCCCCCCGGUUAUGCUCCCGUCCGAGCUGGCGGACGAGGACCAUGAGCAUGCCGCCAUGAAGCGGUGUGGCCGCCGCAAGCGCGCGGUGGACGUCGACCACACCGGACGCCGCAGCUCCCGCCUUGCCGGGAAGGAGCCGUCGGGGUACGUCAAGAUGCUUGACCGGGCCAAGGCGGCGAAGGCGGCGCGCUUCGACUCCUCCAAGGGCUCCCCCCGCCUCCGUGCUGCCGUGCGAGCUGCCGGCAUCGGUGUCGACGACGGCGCGCCGGCCCCUCUCUCUCUCCGCCAGCUCCGGGCUCUCGGGGAGCCGUGUGGCGUCGACCUGGACGCGCUGGCUGCUGGGGCUCGCGCUGAGAUGGCUUAUGAUCGCCAGGAGUGGUUCGGUGCUCCUGUCCGUGGGCCUUGCAUGGCUGCCGGAGCACCUUAUCUUUUUGCCUUUUCUCUUUUCCCCCCGUGGGUUUUCUUCCUGUUGCUUACCCAAUCCCCCAUGACUAGGUUGUUUUCGAUGUGUACCUGGAAUGUCCGUGGACUCGGCGAGGCAUGCAAGUGCCGUGAUGUCCGUGCUAAUUUCGAGGUCAUGCAACCCUCCUUUGUUGCGAUCCAAGAAACCAAACUUGAGCGCCCCCUACUGCUAAAACGGAAAUAUGUUUUCUCCCUUUCUCACCACGUUGCCACCUCUCACGCCCUCUCCGUGGACCUCUCUCUUUGCCAAGAUGGCUCUCCCCUUCGGAUCACCAACGUGUAUGCCCCCUGCGUCCACAGUGCCAAAGAAGCCUUUCUCGCCGAGCUGGCCGGCCACGCUCCCCCUUCCCCCGUCCCUUGGGCUAUCUUAGGUGACUUUAAUCUCAUUAGGUCGCCUGAAGACCGUAGCAACGAUAACUUCUCCCGCUCUGAGGCCAAAUGGUUCAAUGACUUCAUUAAUGAUCUCGCGCUCAUCGACCUUCCUCUCCGGGACCGUCGGUUUACGUGGUCUAGCCGUCAAACCUCCCCGAUUCUUGCUCGCCUCGACCGGGUUCUCAUUAACACUACCUGGGAUAGUGCUUUCCCCACCUCCAUGCUUUCCUCGUUUACACGCUCCACCUCUGACCAUGUCCCCCUGCUUGCAUCCAUCUCCUCGGCGGCCCCCAAGACACGCAUUUUUCGGUUCGAGAAAUCUUGGGCGCUUCAUCUGUCCUUUCGUCACUCCAUCCGCUCUGCUUGGUUAUCCGCGUUUCGGGCUGACGCAGGUGCUCGCCUUGUGGCUAGGCUUCGUCAGUGCCGCCUCAGCUGUAAACGCUGGGCUAGGAGAGUUGCACCGGCUGCUCAGCGCGAGAGCGACUGUCGCAUGCUUAUUGACAUCCUCGAUCGUAUUAAGGAGAGCCGCCAUCUCUCUUCCCUAGAGGCCCUUCUUCGUACCCUCACCGUCGAAGCUCUGCAUGUCUCUGUUAAGGAGCGUGUCACCUAUUGGAAACUUAGGGCAAAAUUCCGCUAUGCCAUUGACGGUGAUGAAAAUACGAGAUUUUUUCAUGCAUCUGCUUCCGCUCGCUUUCGUAGGAACUACAUCCCUGUCCUCUCCCUCGACGGGCGCGAAGUCUCUUCCCAUGAGGACAAGGCGCUCGCCCUCCGGGAUUACUACAAAUCCCUUCUCGGCACCACGACCCCCUGUGCCUGGACUUUCUCUGUUUCCGGCUUGUACCCCGACGCAACCCCUCUUCCAGCCUCCCUCUCGGUCCCCUUCACCGCAGACGAGAUUCGAAACACCUUUUUUGACAUGAACCGCCUGUCAAGCCCCGGCCCUGACGGUUUUGGCCCGUCUUUCUACGUCUCCUUUUGGGAUAUCCUUUCUGCCGAUGUGCAGGCAGUUUUCCAUGACUUCUUUGCCGGAACUAUCGACCUCACUAGGAUCAACCGUGCCUUCCUGGUUCUCCUUCCUAAAACGGAGGCGGCUCGCUCCCCCUCAGAUUUCCGGCCCAUCUCGCUGCAAAACUGCAUCAUGAAAUCCAUCACGAGAGCCCUCUGCACUCGCCUUCAGCGGCACAUCCACUCCUUGGUGGACCCCGACCAGACGGGUUUCCUUCCCAGAAGGCGCAUCUCUGAGAACAUCGUGUACGCUGCGGACCUCCUCCGUGCCUGCCAUGUGCGUAAGGUCCCCACUGUAGUGUUUAAAAUCGACUUCCGCAAAGCCUUUGACUCUGUCAACUGGUCAAGCCUUCUCCCGAUCUUGUCUGCGCGCGGGUUUGACGAACGUUGGUGCGGAUGGAUCCAUGCCAUCCUCUCAACCAGGCACACGUCGGUUCUCCUUAAUAAUGUUCCCGGGGACUGGAUCCUUUGCCGCAACGGCCUCCGCCAAGGCGACGCCCUAUCUCCUUAUCUCUUUAUCAUUGUGGCCGAUGUCCUUCAGCGCCUGAUCAGGACGGCCAGCGCUACCGGGCAGCUGGCGCACCCAAUCGACGACUCCCUCCCUUGCCCUGUCCUGCAAUAUGCAGAUGAUACCCUUAUCCUUUGUCGCGCCGACAUUCCCUCCGUCACCCUUCUCAAAAAAACUCUCGAUGCCUUUGCCCUCGCGACCGGGCUUGCUAUUAAUUUCCAUAAGUCUGGGUUCAUUCCCAUGCAUUGCGCCCCCGAGCUGUCAACAGAAAUGGCUUCGAUCCUCGGAUGCCCUAUCUCCACCUUUCCCCAACCCUACCUCGGUCUCCCUCUCUCCCCUCUCAAACUCCCCAUCUCUGCUUACGACCCCCUCAUAAGGUCUUUUGACCGCUAUUUGUCCGGUGGCGCGCUCUUCUCCUUUCCUCAGGUGGAAGGUGGGCUCGGCAUGCGCGACCUCCGGCGGCAAAAUAUGUGCCUUCUUCUCAACUUUGUGGAUGCUCUUCAUCGGCCCGGCUCCCCGCCCUGGAAGCUCUGGUUCCUCCGUCAGCUCAGGGGCGACGUUGGGGACCCCUGCUCGGCGCCUUCAUUCCUCCAGACGAUCAUCCAGGCGGCGCUCCCGACCUACAGAUCCAUCACCCGGGUGCACCUUGGUGAUGGGCGCACUACCUCUUUCUGGCAGGAUCGGUGGCUCACAGGCGGUGCGCUCUGUUUCACCUACGAGGCGCUUUUCUCCCACUCGACGCGGCCCAAUGCUUCCGUCGCUGCGGUCAUGGAGGACGGCCUCGCGCUUCAGCCGAGGCUUUCUGCGGUGGCGGGCGCUCAGCUUGCCGACGUGCACGCUCUCCUGCGGGGUGUUCGCCUACUGGGAGUGCACGACCGUCGCCUCAUGGCGUGGGGCGACGAUGUUGCUUUCAGCUCGCGGGCUGCUUUCCGCGUCCUGUCGCCUCACGGCGUUCUGGACCAGGUCUCCAUCGACAUUUGGGGCUCCCGGCUCCCUAGCAAAAUCAAGAUUUUUGCUCGGCUCCUGGUUGGUGAUCGGCUUAGCACCCGGGCUAACCUGUACGCCAAAAACUGCGCUCCUUCAUCUUCGUGUGCAUCCUGCCAGGCGGAGGAGACGACGGACCAUCUCUUCGCGGCCUGUCCUCGUGUGGCGCCGGUCUGGGCCGGUCUCGGCCUGGGCCCCUUUCUCUCCGUUGGGGAGAUUCUCUCCACAACGCCCGCGGCGCAGGUCGACAGUGCUGCCUGGCCGGAUGGCCUCUUCAUUCUGCUCUGGAAUGUGUGGAAAGCCAGGAACAAUGUGGUCUUCAACUCCAUCAGUUGCGGGGCUGGCGACGUGCUCCGGCGCGCGGCCGAUGAUACGCUCCUGUGGUCCAACCGUUUUGAGACUGGACCGAGGGAACAACUCCUCCUCUCCCGCUCCCCCGUCAUUCUCGAAAAAAAAAAAUCAGCAGCCGCUGCAGAUCCGGCAGCCCCCUUCCCAUCGUGGCCUCCUCCAGUCAUCUCCGUCCCUUAUGCUCACGCCGGAGCUCCUCCGCCUGAGGAUAACCACGCCGACGACCACCCUGUGUCACCUCUACCUCACUUAGGUCAGGCCAUGCCCCGUCAUCUCCGGCCGCCGCUCAUCGCCCUCCACUUCGAGAGUUCAGGAAAAAAUGGAACCGGUAUGUUGAAAGUCACUUGGUGGUGGCAACCCGGUGUAAUUCGCCUCAACUCCAACUUCUUCGUUUUCACGGAUCUGGGAAAGACCAGCUUCCCCCACUUCUCCUUUUUUACACUAGAUAGGUAG